CACGCCCACCCUCCGUCACUCAUUGCUUCAAGGCAGGGCUUACUUUGCGUUGUCCUGGGUAUUUUGAUAAUUGGCGGGAGGGAACAUGGCGAAGUCUGUUCCACAGCUUCUCCGAGAAGCACUUGAGCGGCAAACUGCAAAUGUUGGCCCUUCAGAAAAUCCAUCGUCUGGUCUGAGCGCGACACCUCCGGAUCGAAGUGGUGGGACACGGGCAGAAGUUUUAAGAUUGUUUGCACCAUAUUCAAAUUCACGGGGCCGUGUGCCGAAACGUCCCAACACCGCUGGACCUUCAGCAAAA
Molecule: long non-coding RNA, 298 nt
Organism: Sinocyclocheilus grahami
Lineage: Eukaryota; Metazoa; Chordata; Actinopteri; Cypriniformes; Cyprinidae
Exons: 2
Source: RefSeq, a predicted model, not a curated record